CCCCGGUAAACGGCGGCCGUAACUAUAACGGUCCUAAGGUAGCGAAAUUCCUUGUCGGGUAAGUUCCGACCUGCACGAAUGGCGUAAUGAUGGCCAGGCUGUCUCCACCCGAGACUCAGUGAAAUUGAACUCGCUGUGAAGAUGCAGUGUACCCGCGGCAAGACGGAAAGACCCCGUGAACCUUUACUAUAGCUUGACACUGAACAUUGAGCCUUGAUGUGUAGGAUAGGUGGGAGGCUUUGAAGUGUGGACGCCAGUCUGCAUGGAGCCGACCUUGAAAUACCACCCUUUAAUGUUUGAUGUUCUAACGUGGACCCGUAAUCCGGGUUGCGGACAGUGUCUGGUGGGUAGUUUGACUGGGGCGGUCUCCUCCUAAAGAGUAACGGAGGAGCACGAAGGUUGGCUAAUCCUGGUCGGACAUCAGGAGGUUAGUGCAAUGGCAUAAGCCAGCUUGACUGCGAGCGUGACGGCGCGAGCAGGUGCGAAAGCAGGUCAUAGUGAUCCGGUGGUUCUGAAUGGAAGGGCCAUCGCUCAACGGAUAAAAGGUACUCCGGGGAUAACAGGCUGAUACCGCCCAAGAGUUCAUAUCGACGGCGGUGUUUGGCACCUCGAUGUCGGCUCAUCA
This 625-nucleotide ribosomal RNA is filed under the name Salmonella enterica. Its description in RNAcentral is "partial 23S ribosomal RNA". It matches the Rfam family "Bacterial large subunit ribosomal RNA", at positions 1918 to 2542 of the family's 2925-position model. The record is from RNAcentral. Lineage: Bacteria; Pseudomonadati; Pseudomonadota; Gammaproteobacteria; Enterobacterales; Enterobacteriaceae. RNAcentral also lists the same sequence under 1 other name.